Vespa crabro (European hornet) is the source of this 5107-nucleotide long non-coding RNA. RefSeq lists it as uncharacterized. NCBI's taxonomy places the organism in Eukaryota, Metazoa, Arthropoda, Insecta, Hymenoptera, Vespidae. The record is from RefSeq and is a predicted model, not a curated record. The transcript is spliced from 3 exons.
UGUAUAUGUAUAUAUAUGUACAUAUAUAUAUAUAUGUAUGUAUGUAUGUAUGUAUGUAUGUAUGUAUAAGUGAAGACAAAUGGGUGGGAAUAUUAACAUAAUAUUCUAUAAUAAUGCUCUGUGGAAUAUACUACAAUUAGUUUCAAUGUGCAUAAUUGAAAUGAAGUUACAAAAAAGUGAAAAUUUUGUUUCGAUUUUUUUAACAGAAUAUUCGAAUGAUUUAAUCUAUCGAUUUAUAUAAUCGUAUUUAAUCAUCUUCCAUGUGUUUGUGGAUUUACUAAAAGUUGAAUCAGUAAUCUGAAAUAUCCUUGUACUCUGGAUAAACUAUAAAUAAGCUAUAACGCAUCUCUCUCUCUCUCUCUCUCUCUCUCUCAUUGAAGUAUUUUAUAGUAAUUAUGUAUAAUAUUUCACUUAGCAUUUUGCUGUACAGAUACUGAGUUAUGAAUACGCAGAGACUUAUAAUCCCGUCUUUUAAGUGGCCUUUCUAAUGAAGAUAAGAUAAAUUCAAGAUUUAGGAAUCAAAGAUCUUUCUAUAUAAUCAUUGAGCUUUAUUGAACAAAAGGAAUCUCAUAAACGUAUUUUCUUACAACGUACCUACAAUAAGCUUAUUGUAUGUGCUUGUUGCUUAGGUAUCUCUUUCUUUGCCGAAACAAUAUCUUUUGAGGUAAGAUAAUUUUUAUCUUUUCUUUUAGGAAGCAUCGUUUGUUUCUUGUUUUUUGUUUAUUUAAUUAUUAUUGUCAUCAUUAUUUUUAAUUAAUAUUAUGCCCGAGUUAUUUGUGCAGCUUUUGUCUUUUUUCUUUUUUUCUUUUUUUUUUUUUUUUUUUCUGUAAUUUUUUCUAGGAACGAAAAUAAUUGCGGUAGAUAAUAUAGAUCAAUAAUCGAUCAUCCUAUAUAGUUUUAAUAUUAAAAUAAUUAAAAUCACAAGCACAUCGCAAUAACUUUAUGCAUAGCAUGGCUUGAAAGCUUCAAGUUAUGAAAUUCUAAUAUAAUAUAUACAUGAUAGAAAACUAUGUAAGAGGUAACUACGUCGUAUCUAAACGUUCUUUUUCUUUUUCCUUUUCGUGAAAACGAAGAUAAAAAUCAUGAUUCUUCUAUUCUUUUUGACUAUAGAACUUUAACGUAACUUUUAACGCGAAGCUAUACAUGGACUAUUUUAAUUUCAACAGAACGUAUAUGUAUAUGUAAAUAUCGAUUCGCACGAACAUCCAUAUACAUACCUACACAUACUCACAUAGAAAGUAUAUUUUAUGAAAUGCUCCUUUAUCGGCACGCUUCUAACGAAACUUUAUAAAUGCAAUUGAAGAAUAGUGGAAAAGUUUAUUAGAUUGGAACUAUGCGCAAUGAUACCAUAGUUGAUGUCCUAGUUUUUACUCGACAAUACUUCCAUUCCAUCCACUAUUCCAAAAUUACUAAUUAAACGAUUGUGCUAACAAGACUUUAAUAAGCUCUUUGAUGUAAAUACAAGUACCUACGACCAUAAUAUCAAUAAGUACGAAGCACAAAUUAAUUCAAUAUUUUAUCGUUUAUUAAUACGAUAACAAACGAUUAUUAUAAUCUAUAACUAUCUUUAAAGGAUCAUCAAAGUCAAAGUGUAUCUCUGGAUGUACGAAUAUCUCUCUAUCGAUUUCCUUAUGAUUGGUAUAUCGUUAAACGAAUGAAAUCCCUCUUCAAGAGAUAUAACUAAUAAAUCUAUCGAUGCUUAGAAAUAAACAUGUGCCGUAACGCUAAUAAUAUCCAUCAUACGACAACGCAAUAUUUCUUCGAAUCUACUAUGUUGCAUAUCAACAUAUAUUUAAAUCCUCGUAAUCCUCGACUAUGUUUAAAAUGGUGCUUCGAUGAAAAAAAAAAAAGAAAAAAAAAAAGAAAAAAUAAUAAUAAUAAUAAUAAUAAUAAUAAUAAUAAUAAUAAUAACAAUAAUAAUCUCGUAUACAUGUAUUUUUCAUCGUAUAUUAUUAUUAUUAUAGAUAAAGCGACAUAAUAUUUUCAAUUUGUUUCGACGUCACGAAAGAUAAAUAAAAUAAGAGGCAUUUAAGUACAUUACACGCGAAAGUUAAAAACUCCUUUCACGAUGUACGUAUAUGUCUAUGUACAUAAAUACCAAAGAUUACACUUACAAUCUUUCUGAAAAAUAUGUAUCGAACUUAUCCUCUAUCGAUCAUCUUCGCGAUAGCUUUCUAACGUUAUAUACAAGAAAUUUGAGGCAUAUAUUUCAUCGAUUUAUGACGCUAACAAUGAUAAUGAUAAUGCAACGAUCUUUGUAAAAAGAAAGAAAGGAAAAAACAAAAAAGAAUUGCAAAUUAAGAAGGAAAACAAAAAGGAAACGAUAUCGAACACCAUUCUGUGUCCUGUCAUUGAACAUUAAAUGAUAUAUUUUAUCUACUCAAAUGGGCAUUGUCAUUAUCGCGUAAUAAGCAGCAUUAUUCGUUCAUCGAACAUAAUAUUAUAACAAUGUGCCAAGUGUUUUACGAAUAUUAAUGGACGGUUUUAUUGUAAAAGAAGCGUAAAGAAUGAGCUAAUCUUUGUGCACUUCUUCGAAACAACGGGCAUAUAUACAUGGUGCAUUAUUCUAGUUAUUCUUUUUUUAACGAGCGAAUUACAUUUAGAAAUUGUCUACGUCUACGGAAUCGUAAUUAUCGAUUUACCCGAUAUAUACAUACGUAAUUGAGACGUACACAUGAGUGUGUAAAGUAAAACAACAACAACAAAAGAAACACAAAGAAAAGAAAACAAACAUGUGCUAUAUAGAAGUACAUGCGUAACGUCAAGAUACCGGUAGACUCAUUCACGAUUUUCGUGCAAACGAGAGAGGCUCGUAAACGUAAAAAUAAAGGAAAGUAAAUAUUUUCUAUAUCUCGAUUAGCAAUCACGAUCGAAAUUUUCGUCGCGGCUAUAGCUUAUCGAUUUUCAAAUAAAUUCUACGAUAUAACUACGUAUGUAAUUAUAUCGGAAACGAGGCUUUUUCAUCUCGAUCUUUUUUCGAUGAUGUACCUACCUGUAUCUUGCAAUCUUCGUUCGAACGUUUAGUCCAAUCUUUGAAAGAUAGAAUCGAUAAUCUCUAUUAGCUAGAAUCUCUUUCACAAGUGCAAAGUCUCAAAGGGAAAAUGCACUAAACGGCAUGCUUAACACUAACAUGACACUUCUGUGUUCCUUGUCGUUAGUGCCUCAGUAAAGGAACUCAUUAUAUAUAUUUUUGACGCGUUUUAUCGUGUACAAUUACCUUAAGUGCAAUACUGUAAUAUAUAUUUUUUAAAGGAAUCGAACCCAGUAUUUAUUUUGUCAAACGUGAGCAUCGACGUAAGGCGAUGUGGGUGUACUUCGAGACGGUACCUCCUCUUGGACGAGUUUCUACAAAGAAAUUUUCGUAUUGCGAAACGUCAUGUACGAUGAAAGGAAAACGAACAUUGGAUUUGUCCUAACGAACGACGAAUGACGAACGAACGAACGAACGAACGAACGAACGGCUACUUUUCCUCUUUGAGAAUCUGCCGAUUAUAACGAUGUCAUUUUUAUUCGAUAUCUCUUACAUACGCCUCUCUCGAAGUAUACUCAUUAUAUUAUUGUAAUAAGUAUUACAGUAACCUGAUGAAUACUACUACUCUGUACAUAAAUACGUAUGUGCUUGCUUCCUAAUUAAAACAAGAAAGAAAGAAAGAAAAAAAAAAAAAAAGAAAAAGAAGAAUAAAAAAGAAAAAAAAAAAGAAAAAUAAAAGAAGUGAAACACGAAGAGGAUUAACUGGCGUAUAGCUAAAUAUAUAACACAUAAACGACGAUUUUUAUAUCAUUAACGAACGACAAAGAUAUUAUUAUUAUUAUAUAUCGAUGAUAUGUAAACGUGUACGCGCGCGCGUGGUUACAUCGUAAUACCAGCGACAUAUCUCUAUGGAUGACUUUUGUUUCGCAUAUGAAUAAAUUACGUCUUACGAUAUCGAAUAUUUUUAGGUUCUUUAGCCCCUUCGACUUCCUCCGAUAAGAUCUCAUCCUCAUAGUCAUCGUCCUUUUAGAUAUCAUUACUUAUGAUUUACGAUCGGCAGAAAACAGAGGCCGUAUAUGCUAAAAGAAACAUACUUUAGCAACAAAUUGCUUUCCCAUUAGGAGCUCGUUAUAAACUUCGCUUAAAUCAUGCAUGCGUUUCAUUUCAGAGGACAGAACGCACUCGGUAACCUGGUAGUAGGACCAACAGGUACAUACGCCAUACCUACAUACUACAACGUCAUGUGUCGUGGGCCGCAGAUAAAAGGCGAAUGGAGAAAUGAAAAGGAUAAAGGAAAACCGGUUGGAGAAUGAGAGGUGUAAAAAUUCACAUCGAUCAUCCAUCUUGUUUCUUCCCACGAGGGGAAAAAAAAAUGACGAGGCCGAUGAUCCUCGAUGUUGGAAGAAAAUAUUUUUUCAAGAUUUCCAGAGGGAGAGAUGAAAGGUUGCCGCAUCACAGUCCUUAAUCGCUCAGAUUAUUGGCUUACCUGUUCCAACAUAAUCGAUUCCAGUGUACGUACACAGGGAACUCCGCCAUAAUCACUUAUUAUAAAUCGAGUUGAACGCGUUCACGUUCAUCCAGCUGCAUUUGCCGGUGAUUUCAUUUGAACAAGGUAACCCGAUGUUUGUUCGAGGAAAGUUCUAAUCCCGGAAGCGAGUGCAUCGGAAAUGUUGAGACUCAUAACAGAAACUAAAUUAUGACUUCGACUUUAUCUUACCGAUAAAGUAAACCUUCUUAACGAAUCUCUUAGCAACGGCUGGGUCGUUUGUUCGUUCGUUCGAUCGUUUUUUUUUUGUUCGUUCGUUCGUUUCGUUAACGACAAUCCUUGGCGAAAAUGAUUAAUUUAUUUGUUAGAAUCGUGAUUCGUUUUACGAAGUAGUAAAAGAAUUCUAUCGCCACCUGGGCAAAUUGUAAUCGAGAACGCUCUCUCACGCGAAAUUCUCCAAGAGACAAAGAAAUAUAAACGAGUUACGAAGGUAAUGCCUUUGACUAUCGAUACGCAAAAUGAGAUUGGCCGAGAGUAUUUUUGCGAGGAAUAAGAAAACUAGGAAGCCUGUCUUGUUUCGUUUCUUAAGAGAAAAAGGUAGGGGAAGCAGGCAGACGUAAACAUAGAAUAAGUGAAAUUCACGCUUCAGA